GAGUAUAUAUAUGUAUGUGAGUGUGCAUAGAUAAGCUGGUUUCGUUUUGGAGGCUAGCACAGAGUCAAUACCUUGAAUGUUGUACAUAUUCGAGGUACAUAAUCGCUUUCUUUGUUCCUUUCUCCUAUGUAUGGGUGGACACUUCAGUUAUUUUAUCGAUUUAAUUUAGGUUUGGAUCGGUCUGGUUAAUCUGGUUCUAAAAUUUUUCCAACUGAAGUAAACCAUAAUUAGUUUGGUUUGGAUCGGUUUUGGUUCGGUUUCUAUUCGGCUUGAUUUCUGUCUCGGUUCCGUCCAAUCGGGUUACCCUAGUUUAGUUCUUUUAAGAGAAUACAUGUUUUAAAACAUAAACGUAUGGUCACGAAAUCAUCAUGUUGGUUACUAUGAAAAAUCGAGAGAUCUCUGCAUCUUCUACUCUUCUCAAAGCCAUCAUUAAUGCAUGUGAAUGGCAAUCUGUACAGCUCAUGUUUUGGAUCGUCUCAGAUCUGCCCCUGAUUUUCGCUCUAAUCUCUCUACUUGUAGAUCUCAUGCAGAUUGCUAUCGGGACAGUAAUAUGGCGGGUUUAGGUUGGGUUUCCGAACCUCCUUGUUCAUAAUCGCUCAGUGUAUGCUUACAAGAAGUGGCUCAGGUUUUGUCGCCUCUCAUGGCUGAAGCUCUUGCUCUUGGGGCAGCCCUAUCAGCACAACAGUUUCACCUUUCUAAAGUUCGGAUGCGUUCCGACUCUUAAGAACUUAUCCAAGCCAUAGUCUCAAAAUCAUAUCCGUUGGAGCUCUAUAGAGUUCUCGAGACCCUAUCUUCCUCUUUCACUUUUAUUAAAUUUUCUUUCAUCUUACGAGAACAGAACAUGAUCUCGGAAUCUGUGGCAAAGUUUAUAUUUUGUAAUGCCUCUCCCAUGUUGCAUUGAACUUUGAAUUUUAAUAGAUUGCUGUUAAAAAAAAAAUGUUCUUAUGGAGUUACAAGAUAUAUACUCUUUUCACAAGUGUUCAAUACUAUUUUCUAUUUUUACAAGAAACAACUGGUUAGAACUGGUAUAAAACGUUUAACAUUAACCAACAUUUACAAAUUAUUUGUGGAUUUACGGUGAACCC
This 1085-nucleotide long non-coding RNA is filed under the name Brassica rapa (field mustard). RNAcentral describes it as "long non-coding RNA (BRAP_LNC005049)". The record is from RNAcentral. Lineage: Eukaryota; Viridiplantae; Streptophyta; Magnoliopsida; Brassicales; Brassicaceae.